CAGCAGUAGGGAAUCUUCCGCAAUGGACGAAAGUCUGACGGAGCAACGCCGCGUGAGUGAUGAAGGUUUUCGGAUCGUAAAACUCUGUUGUUAGGGAAGAACAAGUACCGUUCGAAUAGGGCGGCACCUUGACGGUACCUAACCAGAAAGCCACGGCUAACUACGUGCCAGCAGCCGCGGUAAUACGUAGGUGGCAAGCGUUGUCCGGAAUUAUUGGGCGUAAAGCGCGCGCAGGCGGUUUCUUAAGUCUGAUGUGAAAGCCCCCGGCUCAACCGGGGAGGGUCAUUGGAAACUGGGGAACUUGAGUGCAGAAGAGGAGAGUGGAAUUCCACGUGUAGCGGUGAAAUGCGUAGAGAUGUGGAGGAACACCAGUGGCGAAGGCGACUCUCUGGUCUGUAACUGACGCUGAGGCGCGAAAGCGUGGGGAGCGAACAGGAUUAGAUACCCUG
Molecule: ribosomal RNA, 449 nt
Filed under: uncultured Bacillus sp.
Lineage: Bacteria; Bacillati; Bacillota; Bacilli; Caryophanales; Bacillaceae
Description: bacterial SSU rRNA
Rfam family: Bacterial small subunit ribosomal RNA
Source: RNAcentral